AGUGAACGCUGGCGGUAGGCCUAACACAUGCAAGUCGAACGGCAGCACAGGAGAGCUUGCUCUCUGGGUGGCGAGUGGCGGACGGGUGAGGAAUACAUCGGAAUCUGCCCAGUCGUGGGGGAUAACGUAGGGAAACUUACGCUAAUACCGCAUACGACCUUCGGGUGAAAGAGGGGGAUCGCAAGACCUCUCGCGAUUGGAUGAGCCGAUGUCGGAUUAGCUAGUUGGCGGGGUAAUGGCCCACCAAGGCGACGAUCCGUAGCUGGUCUGAGAGGAUGAUCAGCCACACUGGAACUGAGACACGGUCCAGACACCUACGGGAGGCAGCAGUGGGGAAUAUUGGACAAUGGGCGCAAGCCUGAUCCAGCCAUACCGCGUGGGUGAAGAAGGCCUUCGGGUUGUAAAGCCCUUUUGUUGGGAAAGAAAUCUUUCAGGCUAAUACCCUGGGAGGAUGACGGUACCCAAAGAAUAAGCACCGGCUAACUUCGUG
RNAcentral lists this ribosomal RNA (490 nucleotides) under uncultured bacterium. RNAcentral describes it as "partial 16S ribosomal RNA". It matches the Rfam family "Bacterial small subunit ribosomal RNA", at positions 29 to 507 of the family's 1533-position model. The record is from RNAcentral.